RNAcentral lists this transfer RNA (120 nucleotides) under Thermochaetoides thermophila DSM 1495. Its description in RNAcentral is "Chaetomium thermophilum var. thermophilum DSM 1495 tRNA". It matches the Rfam family "tRNA". Rfam says of the family: Transfer RNA (tRNA) molecules are approximately 80 nucleotides in length. Their secondary structure includes four short double-helical elements and three loops (D, anti-codon, and T loops). Further hydrogen bonds mediate the characteristic L-shaped molecular structure. tRNAs have two regions of fundamental functional importance: the anti-codon, which is responsible for specific mRNA codon recognition, and the 3' end, to which the tRNAs corresponding amino acid is attached (by aminoacyl-tRNA synthetases). tRNAs cope with the degeneracy of the genetic code in two manners: having more than one tRNA (with a specific anti-codon) for a particular amino acid; and 'wobble' base-pairing, i.e. permitting non-standard base-pairing at the 3rd anti-codon position. Lineage: Eukaryota; Fungi; Ascomycota; Sordariomycetes; Sordariales; Chaetomiaceae. The record is from Rfam by way of RNAcentral.
GGCAAGGUGGCCGAGCGGUCCAAGGCGCCACGUUAAGGUUUAUCCUUAAUUCAUCCCUCCGCAGAAGGAGUGUUAUCCGUGGUCUCGAAAGGGGCGUGAGUUCGAAUCUCACCCUUGUCA